Molecule: unclassified non-coding RNA, 349 nt
Filed under: soil metagenome
Description: partial contains 5.8S ribosomal RNA, internal transcribed spacer 2, and large subunit ribosomal RNA
Rfam family: 5.8S ribosomal RNA (bases 1-120)
Source: RNAcentral
GAUGAAGAACGCAGCGAAAUGCGAUAAGUAAUGUAAAUUGCAGAAUUCAGUGAAUCAUCGAAUCUUUGAACGCACAUUGCGCCCGCCAGUAUUCUGGCGGGCAUGCCUGUCCGAGCGUCAUUUCAACCCUCGAACCCCUCCGGGGGGUCGGCGUUGGGGAUCGGCCCUUUACCGGCCGGCCCCGAAAUACAGUGGCGGUCUCGCCGCAGCCUCUCCUGCGCAGUAGUUUGCACACUCGCACCGGGAGCGCGGCGCAGUCCAAUGCCGUAAAACACCCAACUUUCUGAAAUGUUGACCUCGGAUCAGGUAGGAAUACCCGCUGAACUUAAGCAUAUCAAUAAGCGGAGGA